This 1372-nucleotide ribosomal RNA is filed under the name uncultured bacterium. Its description in RNAcentral is "bacterial SSU rRNA". It matches the Rfam family "Bacterial small subunit ribosomal RNA", at positions 28 to 1381 of the family's 1533-position model. The record is from RNAcentral.
GAUGAACGCUGGCGGCGUGCCUAAUACAUGCAAGUCGAGCGAACGGACGAGAAGCUUGCUUCUCUGAUGUUAGCGGCGGACGGGUGAGUAACACGUGGAUAACCUACCUAUAAGACUGGGAUAACUUCGGGAAACCGGAGCUAAUACCGGAUAAUAUUUUGAACCGCAUGGUUCAAAAGUGAAAGACGGUCUUGCUGUCACUUAUAGAUGGAUCCGCGCUGCAUUAGCUAGUUGGUAAGGUAACGGCUUACCAAGGCAACGAUGCAUAGCCGACCUGAGAGGGUGAUCGGCCACACUGGAACUGAGACACGGUCCAGACUCCUACGGGAGGCAGCAGUAGGGAAUCUUCCGCAAUGGGCGAAAGCCUGACGGAGCAACGCCGCGCGAGUGAUGAAGGUCUUCGGAUCGUAAAACUCUGUUAUUAGGGAAGAACAUAUGUGUAAGUAACUGUGCACAUCUUGACGGUACCUAAUCAGAAAGCCACGGCUAACUACGUGCCAGCAGCCGCGGUAAUACGUAGGUGGCAAGCGUUAUCCGGAAUUAUUGGGCGUAAAGCGCGCGUAGGCGGUUUUUUAAGUCUGAUGUGAAAGCCCACGGCUCAACCGUGGAGGGUCAUUGGAAACUGGAAAACUUGAGUGCAGAAGAGGAAAGUGGAAUUCCAUGUGUAGCGGUGAAAUGCGCAGAGAUAUGGAGGAACACCAGUGGCGAAGGCGACUUUCUGGUCUGUAACUGACGCUGAUGUGCGAAAGCGUGGGGAUCAAACAGGAUUAGAUACCCUGGUAGUCCACGCCGUAAACGAUGAGUGCUAAGUGUUAGGGGGUUUCCGCCCCUUAGUGCUGCAGCUAACGCAUUAAGCACUCCGCCUGGGGAGUACGACCGCAAGGUUGAAACUCAAAGGAAUUGACGGGAACCCGCACAAGCGGUGGAGCAUGUGGUUUAAUUCGAAGCAACGCGAAGAACCUUACCAAAUCUUGACAUCCUUUGACAACUCUAGAGAUAGAGCCUUCCCCUUCGGGGGACAAAGUGACAGGUGGUGCAUGGUUGUCGUCAGCUCGUGUCGUGAGAUGUUGGGUUAAGUCCCGCAACGAGCGCAACCCUUAAGCUUAGUUGCCAUCAUUAAGUUGGGCACUCUAAGUUGACUGCCGGUGACAAACCGGAGGAAGGUGGGGAUGACGUCAAAUCAUCAUGCCCCUUAUGAUUUGGGCUACACACGUGCUACAAUGGACAAUACAAAGGGCAGCGAAACCGCGAGGUCAAGCAAAUCCCAUAAAGUUGUUCUCAGUUCGGAUUGUAGUCUGCAACUCGACUACAUGAAGCUGGAAUCGCUAGUAAUCGUAGAUCAGCAUGCUACGGUGAAUACGUUCCCGGGUCU